Molecule: ribosomal RNA, 490 nt
Filed under: uncultured bacterium
Lineage: Bacteria
Description: partial 16S ribosomal RNA
Rfam family: Bacterial small subunit ribosomal RNA
Source: RNAcentral
AUUGAACGCUGGCGGCAGGCCUAACACAUGCAAGUCGAACGGUAACAGGGAUCAGCUUGCUGAUUCGCUGACGAGUGGCGGACGGGUGAGUAAUGUCUGGGAAACUGCCUGAUGGAGGGGGAUAACUACUGGAAACGGUAGCUAAUACCGCAUAACGUCGCAAGACCAAAGAGGGGGACAUUCGGGCCUCUUGCCAUCGGAUGUGCCCAGAUGGGAUUAGCUAGUAGGUGGGGUAACGGCUCACCUAGGCGACGAUCCCUAGCUGGUCUGAGAGGAUGACCAGCCACACUGGAACUGAGACACGGUCCAGACUCCUACGAGAGGCAGCAGUGGGGAAUAUUGCACAAUGGGCGCAAGCCUGAUGCAGCCAUGCCGCGUGUAUGAAGAAGGCCUUCGGGUUGUAAAGUACUUUCAGCGGGGAGGAAGGGAGUAAAGUUAAUACCUUUGCUCAUUGACGUUACCCGCAGAAGAAGCACCGGCUAACUCCGUG